AGGUCCCCCCCUAUUAGUAUUUAGGGCCCCCACCCACCGCUCAGGGGUGGGGGCCGGGGGGGACCUUAAGUCCCCCCACCUUUUUACUGUAGGGCCCCCACCCACUGCUCAGGGGUGGGGGCCAGGGGGAAGGACAUU
Non-coding RNA from Pelobates fuscus (common spadefoot toad), 138 nucleotides. RefSeq annotates it as small Cajal body-specific RNA 11. Lineage: Eukaryota; Metazoa; Chordata; Amphibia; Anura; Pelobatidae. The transcript has a single exon. The record is from RefSeq and is a predicted model, not a curated record.